This 746-nucleotide ribosomal RNA is filed under the name uncultured archaeon. Its description in RNAcentral is "bacterial SSU rRNA". It matches the Rfam family "Archaeal small subunit ribosomal RNA", at positions 70 to 814 of the family's 1478-position model. The record is from RNAcentral.
UCAGACUCGCGGCACCGAGCUCAGUAACACGUGGCCAAACUACCCUACAGAGACGGAUACCCUCGGGAAACUGAGGUUAACCCGUCAUACCGAUCUCAGGCUUGAAUCGCAGAGAUCACAAAACGCCCCGGCGCUGUAGGAUGUGGCUGCGGUUGAUUAGGUAGACGGUGGGGUAACGGCCCACCGUGCCCAUAAUCAGUACAGGUUGUGAGAGCAAGAACCUGGAGACGGAAUCUGAGACAAGAUUCCGGGCCCUACGGGGCGCAGCAGGCGCGAAACCUUUACACUGCACGCACGUGCGAUAAGGGGACUCCGAGUGCGAGGGCAUAUCGUCCUCGCUUUCGUGUACCGUAGGGUGGUACACCAACAAGGGCUGGGCAAGACCGGUGCCAGCCGCCGCGGUAAUACCGGCAGCCCGAGUGAUGGCCGAUCUUAUUGGGCCUAAAGCGUCCGUAGCUGGCUGCGCAAGUCCGUCGGGAAAUCCACUCGCUCAACGAGUGGGCGUCCGACGGAAACUGCACAGCUUGGGACCGGAAGGCUCGAAGGGUACGUUCGGGGUAGGAGUGAAAUCCCAUAAUCCCGCACGGACCACCGAUGGCGAAAGCACUUCGAGAAAACGGAUCCGACAGUGAGGGACGAAAGCCAGGGUCUCCAACCGGAUUAGAUACCCGGGUAGUCCUGGCCGUAAACAAUGUUCGCUAGGUAUGACACAGACUACGCGUCUCUGUUGUGCCGUAGGGAAGCCG